This 492-nucleotide ribosomal RNA is filed under the name uncultured bacterium. Its description in RNAcentral is "partial 16S ribosomal RNA". It matches the Rfam family "Bacterial small subunit ribosomal RNA", at positions 29 to 507 of the family's 1533-position model. The record is from RNAcentral.
AGUGAACGCUGGCGGUAGGCCUAACACAUGCAAGUCGAACGGCAGCACAUUAUACUCUUGCUCUUACGGGUGGCGGCUGACGGACGGGUGACGCAUACAUCGGAUUCUACUUUUUCGUGGAGGAUAACUUAGGGAAACUUCCGCUACUACCUCAUACCACUUACCGCUGAAAUCAGGGUAUCUUCGUACCUUUCCCUCUUUAAUGAGUCCUUGUCGGAUUAGCUAGUUGGUGGGGUAAAGGCACACUAAGGCGACGAUUCAUAGCUGGUCUGAGAGGAUGAUCAGCCACACUGGAACUGAGACACGGUCCAGACUCCUACGGGAGGCAGCAGUAGGGAAUAUUCGACAAUGGGCGAAAGCCUGACCCAGCCAUACCGCGUGAGUGAAGAAGGCCUUCGGAUUGUAAAACCCUUUUGUUAGGAAAGAAAAUCAGCAAGUUAAUACCCCGCUUUACUGACGGUACCCAAACAAUAAGCACCGGCUAACUUCGUG